GGCGCGCAUGCGCAGCGGCGCCGGGGCUGCCGGCGCCAUUUUGUGCGCGGCUCCUGCCCAUUUUAGGCGGCCGCGGGGCGGGGGGAGGCGGCGGCGCCGCGGGGCCGGGCCCGGCUCGGCCCUCACAUGGCGGCCGCGGGGCCCCCUCAGCGCCCCGGGGCCUCGUCACGGAGCGGUUUCGGCGUCUCCUCGGCGGUUGGCGGCGCAGCGGGGAGGCUGCCGGGGAAGGGGAGCGGCGGUGGUGGUGAUGGUGCUGCCUCUGGUGGCGGCCGCCGGGCUGUGAGGCGGCUGCAGGAAGCAGCAGGCAAAGAGACAGUUCUCUACUGAGCUUAAGUGCCACUUAAUACAGCAGAAAAACUCUGUCCACCUGGGUGUAUCUGUUGCAGCUGGCGUGCCUAGGAAGCUCUUGGCACAUCAUCCAUCUAACUACUGUGAGCAAGCUUUUUUUUCCUAUGUAGUUAGUCAUCAGAGGAGGUGACUUGUUCUUUUAUGGCAUUUAAAGUACCUCAGAAUGUCAAGCUAGGCAGCACACCAGAGAGCAUAAACAUUCACACGCAGCUUGGGGAUGAUGUCUGGUAUAAUGGAAUGAAAAAGCUGUGCUUUUGGCACACCGGAGACAACUCCUGUUUUUGGUUUAAAGUAACUUUUCAUUGAAACGUGAACUUCUGAACUCAGAGCAGGACUAUGAUAUUGAGGUUUUGCAUCUAAAAGUAUGUCAGUGUGAAGUAGCCCUUGAGAAUUAAAUAUAGCCUGGCUAUACUGUAUCCUUGCAGUUGUGCCCCUUCCCCCCAGCGUGUGAUCUCUUACAGGGAAACAGUUGACAGGAGUGGAAAAAAUGAGCAGCAGUUUUCUGGUGCGAGCCACUUUAACUUUACAAAGCUAACACUUGCUUUUGAGUUACAGUAUGAAACAAUCAGUAGGAGUUUUUAUCUAAUCUCUCUGUAAAUAGAUGUGAUAAAAGAAAUAAAAAUAUUUAACAUCAUUGUUCAAAGCAGGGGCACUUGUAUUCUGUGUGCUUUGUUAACACCAAAGGCCUUGUGGGACAGAACAAUCACCUUCUGGGGGUGUGUUUUGCUCGUAAUUCAUGCAAAACAACACUGAGGCAUCAAGAUACUCUAAAUGCAUAACUGGUCUUGAUGGCUCAGUCCUAGAAGUAAAUUAGAAAAGAUAAUGUACUUCAAAUUUCCUUGGUGUUGUAGUUGCAGAACUCACAGGGAAGUUGUUCAGCCUUGCAUAUAUGUGGCAUUCAGUAGGAAAAAGCAAAUACAGUAAUUUGUGUCUUGCAAUUUCCUUAGUACUAUGAGUAGCAUCUUAAUAUUUUUUUGAGUGUGGAUUCCUUAGGAAAAGGGAGUAUAAUGAGAAGAGAUUUCUGGGAUAAGUAAGGUGUCUUAUUACUUCAGUAGUCAGACACUGCUCUCAAUGUACUGCAUUUACAUAUAAUUAGAAAGUCAGAAUAUGUAUACAAUCACGGCCAAAACAUUUAAAGAGUAUUAAAAAUACCGAUUCUUGUUCUAAAUUGAGCUUCUCUGUAUAUAAUGAAACGCUAUGUUACUUUGUUCAACUUCACAGAUGUUCAGGGACUGCCAGCUUCUUUUACUUUUUGUUUCUAGUGUUUAGUUCUCCUUUUUUAGAUGCCCUUCCCCUUGGUGUUUCUGUGCUGCCAGUAAAUAGGCGAUAUUUUUCCAGCAGUGGUUGAGCAAGCAUCUGCCUUGUGGUUCAGAACCUGUCUGUGUGGAACUGCUGAAUUUCUGCACGAAUGAAGGUCAAAUGUGUGCUCUAUCUGACUCUGGAACUGGCUCAAAAGAGUGUGUCAAGGAGUUCUGGAGUACUUUAAUGUAUUUUUAUAAGGGGAAAAAAAGGGGGGGAGGGAGAGGAACAAACCCCACAGAAAAGCAAUGACACCAGAAAGAUCAGUUCUUAAUAGCUGCAUCAUAAAAAUUAAAGGUCAGACCUUUCCUACUCAUGGAAAAAGUUGUGCUUUACUGCUCUCAGCAACAAGUUCCUUCAAGUUUAUAGAUAUAAAUAGAGAUAGGUAGAUUAAAAAAUAAAUAAACUAUUACUGACUGCUUUGUUACCCCAGCACUGGCACUUUCCUGUUCUCAUGUUCAAAAAAAAUAGAUAUGCAAUUAUUCAAACAGAAGUGUGCAUGCUAGCUUUGAACACUUUGUUGUGAGUGGUGUUGGAGAAAGCUUAGCAACCCUUCAACCUGAAUUAGUGCAUUACAUUCCCCAAAUCUGACUAGUGGGUUCUUGAACCAGUUGGAGGUGUAUUUUGCACCAGUGCAGUAAAUUCUGGGUGUGAAUAAUCAUGAAAAUACUUCUAAUGUAGCACUUUGUACGAGGGGAGAGGGGAAAAAAUCUGCGAGUCAGCUUUCCUGUUAGCUCUGACCUAGCUGUAGUACUCGCUUUGCAGUUUCUCCUUCCAGUAACAGGAGUAAAAUGCUGCUACGUGCUCAGCUUGUCAGAGUGUAUCUUGUUAGUGGCUUCAGGGAUCUCCAGGGAGAAGUGGCCACGCUCUUCCUGAAUAAACUACAUCCAGACUUUGUUGUGCUUGUGGCUGCAGUUCGUAACUACAGCCCUGUGUGCUAUAAGAUGUGUGCAGAAACUAGUGACACAUCGGCUGGUCUGUUAUUAGCAGCGUAGUACCAAGAGAAGAAGUUUGAGUUCUCAACUGAUGGAACUGCUGCUUUCAUCCUAGAAGCUGAAGACUUGUGCAGCAGCUGCCGUUUCAGUGUGGCGGAGAGCUUUGGUUGCCAUCACCUGGAACCCAGUGAUCAGUCUGUCCUCCAAAACUUGAAGUAAGUGCUUGAGAUCAAGCAUGGGCUCAGUUAUUGCUCUGAGUGGUAACAUUACUUCACGUGGCUGCUGAAGGAGAAUAUUUCUACGUACAUUUUCACAGGCUAACUGGUAAUUUAAAUGCCAGGAGUAAAGGUGAAAGAUUAGAUCUAGAUGUCAUUCAUGUGUAAUCAAACUUUGUUUCAGCCUUCCAUAUAACUUGUUUGCACAAGCUAGGUACUAGAAAUGUAUCCUGUGUGUAUAUCCACGUGGCCAGUGCAUCAACCAUUUUAGCACAGUAAACCUAACAAGCACAGACUUAAAUAAAACUAAUUGGUUUCCAAAGUGUAUCUACUGCAUGCAGCUUUUUUUUUGCCUGGCUUCCAAUGUGUAGGCUUUAUUGUUGGUCUAAACAGUUUACCUGAGCAAUUUCUGAUCUUUCAAAGUGAGAAGAGACAUUUUCUAUGGUAUUGGAAGAGUUAUUCUCUGUAAAUAUAGUCAGUCACUAGUCUACAGAGCAAAUACGGUUUUAGUGUUCCUGAAAUAAACUCAAGUUGAAAAUUUAUUAAACUUGCAUGUGAAACUCUAGAUACUGCUAACACUAAUACUUCCUAACAGAAUCAAGUCUUGUUUAUAAAUAGUAGAGCUUGAGUAGCUUCCCAUCUAAAUCAAACAUCCAGGGUGAAACUUGAAUGCAAAAAUUGCUUUGGGGAGUUGUAGUUACAUAAUUUAAACUUUAACAAUUAAAUUAGGUUGCAUGCUGUGUUUGAAUAAUCUUACUGCAAUCUUCCAAAUAAGUUAAAUUUCUGGUAGAUUAUACUCCUCCUCAAGUAGUGAACUUCUGGUACCUGCUUGGGAGCAACUAUGGAUUCACUUCUUCAGCUUUUGGUGAAACCAAAUUGGGAGCAAACAUACACUGAAUGGAUGUCUGUUGCUCAUAUUGUUCGUAUCUAAGAUGUUGACUGAUGCUGAAGUUGGAGAGCUAAAAUCAGUUCUUUUUCUUUCCGUAAAGAGAAGUAACUCCAGCUGAAUUAUUUUCUCAAUAUCUGUGUUAGAAUAUUGAGGACAGUGUUGGUUUUUUGUUCUCAAAGUAAUUUUCAGAGUGAUUUGUCACAGCCAAUCUGAAGUAGGAGUCCUCCUUGCUCAUGCUACCUGUUGCCAGUUUAUAUCCUGACAGGCUUUUUUUCCUUCUGCAGAAGGACUCACUUAAGAAGUAUGAGAGGAAAUAAAACUUAAAAGCUGUGUUUUCACAUGCACAGGCUUUUUCUUGCCUUGUUUGGAUUUUUACUAAGACAUGUUUCCAUACUUGCAGAGGAAGAAAAUACUGUUCUAAUACUGAAGGUGAGUCCUCAGACAUGGUCUACCCACCCGCACAGGUGUCCCCCCCAAGCCUGUUGACUAAAUGGGGGGAUUUUCAGAUGCAGGGUGUCGAGCACCAUCACCCAGCUGGCUCAGGGCUAGGGCUGCACGCUCUUUCCUUGUCACUGUUCCAGAAAGCAAUGCGUAUGCCACUAUUAGUAUUCAGCCCAGCAGAAAGAAGCAAAACUACUUGUGCAAGCAGGGAUAUUCAGCAAAAGAAAGCCUGUGAGGGCAGUAGUUAUGCCCUUUCUUCUAGGGCUUUUACUUGUCCAAAUUAGUUUAAUCACUUCUGGUUAAUUUACUUUUCAGCCUCAGCUAACAAGAGUGCAGUUCGUCAGUAUUGAUUCUUUUCUAAAAGCAUUAAUGCCCUCAGUCUUUUGAAUUAAAUGUUAUUAGCUGUAAGUAGCCGCUGUUAGUGAGAAUCGCUUUGGCCAGUGAUUACCUUCUGAUUUUCCUCCUGCUUAGGCCUUUUUUCCAAAGCUACUCUUUCCUUUUGUGUAUUUUGCUUGAAGGAUAUUAUUAGUGGUAGUUAAUUUCCAAGUGGUGAGGGAAUUAGCUGACCAGCCAGCACUGUGUUAGCACAGUUAAGCUGUGAAUUAAUUGCAAGAUCACACUGUUUGCAGGAGGCUGGUACCUGCAGGGGUAAGCUUUCUCCUGUCAGGAGCUGCAGUUCUGCUAUGCAUGCUGCCACCCCAUUAGUUAAAACCAGCACAGUGUAAACAGAACUGCUGAAAUGAGCUGUGUUGUGUUGAGUUACAGAACUGUAAAGGAACAGAAUUUGUGACUUCUUGUGAGUAUAAUUAUUUUGGGUCAAUGAAAUGUGUCUUAUUAGUGUGGUAGUGGCCUCCUCCUUGCGAGCAGCAAAAUGGGUACAAACUGGUGUGAGAAUAGAAAGGAGCAUUUGGCUGGGUGAAAUGGUUGCUUGUUCAACUGACUUUCCUACUGGAAACAAAUCAAGCUAUGCUUUCAUCCAGCUUCCUGAGUCAGUAUUUCAGAUUUCUUCUAUUCCUGAUGUAUUGAGAAAUGGGCAUGGGGGAAAAAACGCUUCCUAAAGUGGUGAUCUUUUUAGUGUGGAAAUGCAUGGAAUGAGAGCUGAGACUGAGCUUUAUGUAAGCAUGCUGUUAAAAGUCACCUCGCACUUCCUCUGCUGCUGUUGGAACCUGUUAAUGUAGUCUCCUUCCUACCCCCAAACAAUGAACGCAGCGGAUUCCUGCUUUUUUGAAAGCUCUGCAAACAAAACUUUAAAAAGCUUCCUGGUGUUAAUUUAACCAUUGCUUUUGGUGUGUGUGUGUGUUCAGAAUGUAUUGGCUUCUGGGUGAACUCACUGUUAAGUUAACCUACCCUUAGGUAAUAAAAUGGUUUGGGUUGGAAGGGAUCUUAAGUAUGAGCUGAUUCCACCCUCCCAUGGGGACAUUAGCGAUCUGUUGCUGAAAGUGAAAGUUACUCUGAAUGCAUGCAGCUGGGGCUUGCAGGCUAUACAUGUUCUAUCAAAUGAUGUCUAUAUUUACACAACAAUAAACAAAACUUUUUUUCUGAA
Molecule: non-coding RNA, 5670 nt
Organism: Anas platyrhynchos (mallard)
Lineage: Eukaryota; Metazoa; Chordata; Aves; Anseriformes; Anatidae
Source: RefSeq, a predicted model, not a curated record